CCUACGGGUGGCUGCAGCAAGGAAUCUUCCGCAAUGGGCGCAAGCCUGACGGAGCAACGCCGCGUGGAGGACGACGGCCUUCGGGUUGUAAACUCCUUUUCCCAGGGACGAAACGGACGGUACCUGGGGAAUCAGCCCCGGCUAACUCUGUGCCAGCAGCCGCGGUAAGACAGAGGGGGCAAGCGUUGUCCGGAUUUACUGGGCGUACAGCGCGCGCAGGCGGCUGGGUAUGUGACCGGUGACAGCCUCGGGCUCAACUCGAGGUGGUCUGGUUA
Molecule: ribosomal RNA, 275 nt
Filed under: uncultured bacterium
Lineage: Bacteria
Description: partial 16S ribosomal RNA
Rfam family: Bacterial small subunit ribosomal RNA
Source: RNAcentral